Molecule: ribosomal RNA, 566 nt
Filed under: Candidatus Symbiopectobacterium sp. Chty_BC
Lineage: Bacteria; Pseudomonadati; Pseudomonadota; Gammaproteobacteria; Enterobacterales; Enterobacteriaceae
Description: partial 23S ribosomal RNA
Rfam family: Bacterial large subunit ribosomal RNA
Source: RNAcentral
GAGGUUAAGUGAAUAAGCGUACACGGUGGAUGCCUGGGCAGUCAGAGGCUGAAGGGCGUGCUAAUCUGCGAAAAGCGUCGGCAAGCUGAUAUGAAGCAUUAUAACCGACGAUACCCGAAUAGGGAAACCCAGUGCAGUUCGUUGCACUAUCAUGUCAUGAAUACAUAGUGGCAUGAGGCGAACCGGGGAACUGAAACAUCUCAGUACCCCGAGGAAAGAAAUCAACCGAGAUUCCCCCAGUAGCGGAGAGCGAACGGGGAAAAGCCCAGGGUCUGAAUCAGCUUGUGUGUCAGUGGAAGCGUCUGGAAAGUCGCACAGUAAAGGGUGAUAGUCCCGCACACGAAGACGGACAGGUUGUGAGCUCGAUGAGUAGGGCGGGACACGUGUUAUCCUGUCUGAAUAUGGGGGGACCAUCCUCUAAGGCUAAAUAAUCCUGACUGACCGAUAGUGAACCAGUACCGUGAGGGAAGGCGAAAAGAACCCCGGCGAGGGGAGUGAAACAGAACCUGAAACCGUGUACGUACAAGCAGUGGGAGCAUCCUUCGGGGUGUGACUGCGUACCUUUU